UAUCUCUGUAGAGUCUGCAUAUCAAUAAGCGGAGGAAAAGAAACUAACAAGGAUUCCCUUAGUAACGGCGAGUGAAGCGGGAAGAGCUCAAAUUUGAAAUCUUCAAGGUUCUACCUUGACGAAUUGUAGUUUAAAGAAGUGUUUUCUGUUAGAUGAGUAGCAAAAGUUCCUUGGAAUGGGACAUCAUAGAGGGUGAGAAUCCCGUAUUUGGUUAUUCAUUCUAGCUUUGUGAUACACUUUCAAAGAGUCGGAUUGUUUGGGAAUGCAGUCCAAAAUGGGUGGUAAAUUUCAUCUAAAGCUAAAUAUUGGCGAGAGACCGAUAGCGAACAAGUACCGUGAGGGAAAGAUGAAAAGAACUUUGAAAAGAGAGUUAAACAGUACGUGAAAUUGUCAAAAGGGAAGCGUUUGACACCAGUGUUGUUUUUCCGAAAAUCAAUUACGAAUGGCUUGAUUUUGUGUUGUAUUGACCUUAUCAGCUUUCUUCACUUUUUUCGAGUCUUUCUUAAUGCACUUUUCGGUUAACAAGUCAACAUCAAUUUCUUUUGUUGUAAAAGAGUAGUUCGGAAGGUGGCUUUCUUUUCGGAGAAAGUGUUUAUAGCCCUAUACUUCUACAAUCGGAGAGAUUGAGGUCUGCAGCGUAGAUCCUUCGGGGUUAGAUACACUUGUGCUAAGUUGUAGCUUUUCAUAGACAACUUGUUGACUAUGUUUAGUCAUGUAGCUUACUCGUAGUGCUAUUUUACCUACGCUUAGGAUGUUGAAGACUCUACAGAGAU
Molecule: ribosomal RNA, 773 nt
Filed under: uncultured Neocallimastigales
Lineage: Eukaryota; Fungi; Neocallimastigomycota; Neocallimastigomycetes; Neocallimastigales
Description: partial large subunit ribosomal RNA
Rfam family: Eukaryotic large subunit ribosomal RNA
Source: RNAcentral